GGGAGAGUGGAUUCCGUGUGACUCGAUUCGACCCUUACGGUGGGGCCCACCUUGAUGUAUGCAUUGUAUAUCUCUGUCCAUCCAUUUGGAGAGAUCAUUUUAGGUCAUGAGACAUAAUGAGGCAAAUCGAAAGCUCAAGUGGACCCAACCACAGAAAAUAGUGGGGACUGAACGCCUACCAUUAAAAACUUUGGAGGGCCACGGGAGUUUUCGAUUAAGCUGAUAUUUGUGUUUUUCCUUUGUCCAUAUCUGUCUUUACAUAUGAACAGGUUGGAUCUUAAAUAAAUAUCAUGGUGGGUCCCCCAGAAAUGGUUUCUAGUUUCAACGGUGAGCAUCAUUGUCCCCACUGUUUUUUGUGGUGGGGUCCACUUGAGAUUUGGAUUGGUGUCAUUCUUUAACUCAUGCCACUUCAGAUUUGGAUUGGCAUCAUUCUUUGAUUCAUGCCGUAAAAAUGUUCUCUCCAAAUGGAUGGACGAUGUGGAUACAACACAUACAUCAUGGUGGGGCUCACAGUCAGGGUCCCACCCACAUUGAUGUUCGUCGCGUGCGGAAUGGUUAUUACCCCCACUAGGACGGGAGUGGAUUAGGUGAGACCCCAAAUCUACCGUGGUAGGUGGGACCCCUGAUUGUGGGGCUCAUAGUGAUGUGUGUCUUAAAUCCACACUGUCCAAACAUUUUGAAAGCUCAUUUUAAGGCAUAAGCCCAAAAAUGAAGCCAGCUCAAAUCUUAAUGGUCCAAAGCUUUUGUGGCCCACAAUAAGUUUUUAAUGGUCAAUCACCAUUAUUUCAUGUUCUAUGGUCCAUCUGGGAUUUGGAACUACUUCAAAAUUUUUUUAAAUCAUGCCCUAAAAUGAGCUUUCAAUACAGAUGGACAACAUGGAUGUAGUCACAUACAUCACAAUGGGCCCCAAAAUUAGGGUCCCAUCCACCUCUGUGGAUACAGGGUCUCACCUAAUUUGCUCCCCAUGAUGGACGUGGAUUGCCUAUUGAUGCUACCAGCAACACCUCGCUAUUGGACAGUGCUCUGCGGGCCUCAACAUGAUGUAUGUGUUAUAUCCAUGCUAUUAAUAUAAUUUUCUAUAUUAUUUUAGGGCAUGAUCCCAAAAAUGAGGCAAAUCUAAGUCUCAAGUGGACCACACAAUAAGAAAACAAUUGUAAUUGAAGGGUCACCAUUAAAAUUUUCCUAGGGCCCACUGUAAUGGUUAUUUGCCAUCCAACCUAUUGAUUAAGUCACAGAGACCUGGAUGGAAGUGAAAAGACAAAUAUCAGCUUCAUUCAAAACUUUUGUCGCCCCGAGAAGUUUUUAAUGGUGGGCAUUCAAUUACCACUACUUUCUUGUGGUGUGGUCCACAUGAGAUUUGAAUUUGUCUAAUUUUUGGGAUUAUGGUCUAAAAUAAUAUGGGAAAAUGGAUGAACGGAGUGGAUAAAAAAUAGACAUUAUGGUUUUUCAAUUGAUAGAUAUGUUUUUUUAUUUUAUUAUUUUUACUUCUUUUUUCCUUUUGAAUGAAUUAGAUACAUUUAAAAAUGUUAUGCAUUCAAUUUGAACAUAAUUGCAUAGUUCAGUCAGACAACGCAUAGCUUAGGACUCUAUAAAAAGGAAACCUAUUAUGUGCACUUCUUUUUUGAGAUGUUAUGAUUUAAAAUUGUGUAUUAAGGUCUUUUUUAACAAUCCCUGAGCUUUCAUUGGAAAAUUCAACCAUUUCCCCAAUGUUUCCCAAAAAGUUCGAUAAAUUUUAUUCAUGAUUUUAUGUAUACAUUACAAUAUGAAUUCAAUCAUUCAUAUGUAAAACUAUAUUGCAUACACUCAGUGAAUGUAUUGGAGUUAGUGUUGUCAUAUCCGAUCGCAUAUGCCAUUUUGGACCAGUGGAUUGCUUAUGCCAGGUGGCAUAUGCGAUUAUUGUGUUGUUGGUGCUUAUGUGGUCGCACAGAGAAGUAUGCGACCACAUAAGCCAUAGUUAUGUGGUUGUGCCAUCGUAUACACAAUAUGCAACGGCAUAACCUCCCAACAGUUAGAUUUCUAACUGUUGGGACAUCUUUUUCUUCUUCUUCAUUUUCUCUCAUUUUUUGCCUAAAAAUAGGCACUCCUAGCCCCCUAUUUUCACAUCUCUCUCUCUCUCUCUCUCUCACACACACACACACACACACACACACACACACACACACACAAACUCACUGUAAUACUCUCAUCUCUCAAUCUCUCUAGUCUCUUAACUCUCUUAGUCUCAUACUCUCUCUCACACACUAUUACUCGCACUCUCUUUAAAUGGCAUCAAUAAAAUUCAUCUAUUGUUUUUUUUCCCAUAUUUUUUAGUAUAUGCACUCAUUUGACUAGUUGUUAGUUGACUUGUCAUAGUCUAGUACCAAAAAAAAAAUAAAAUCCCUUCACUUGUAUUUUUACAUAAAAUUUCUUUUUUUUUUUCCUCAAAAAUGAAAAUACAAAAUUGGGGGUCUAUGCCAUCAUCACAUAUUUGAUUAUGCAAGAAGCACACAACCCCCUUGGGUGUCACACAAGAUCGCUUUUGCCAUUGACAACAUUGAUUGGAGUGACCCACAUUAUUCUACCCCUAAUGUACAACAUAUAUGAGGAAGCUGUGCACAAUGUAUCCAUUCCCGAACCAUGUACCGAAGUGACCUGUGAUCCAGGUAACUGUGGUUUGCCUUGCCACUGUGUUUGAUAUACCAAGAAAUGUCAGGCUCAUACAACCAUGUGGAAUAUGUCUGCACCUAGGCAUUUGAAAAAUUAUGAAAUUUGGUUUCAAUCCACAAAGUUGCUGAAGCCCUACAAGAAGGAAGUACAAGUAAUGCCAUGUAGGUGAAACAAACAUAAACACAGGCAUGUGAUCUGGAUUGCAGAUGACAGCAUGGAUGUUUCUGUUCAGAUAUCCUUACAUAAAGUCUACCCGUGUUUGGUUAGAGUUUAGAUUGUCCUGGUAGCCCUGUGCUGUGUUUUUUUUUUUUUUUUU
Long non-coding RNA from Magnolia sinica, 2962 nucleotides. RefSeq lists it as uncharacterized. The record is from RefSeq and is a predicted model, not a curated record. The transcript is spliced from 2 exons. Lineage: Eukaryota; Viridiplantae; Streptophyta; Magnoliopsida; Magnoliales; Magnoliaceae.